RNAcentral lists this ribosomal RNA (301 nucleotides) under uncultured bacterium. Its description in RNAcentral is "partial 16S ribosomal RNA". It matches the Rfam family "Bacterial small subunit ribosomal RNA", at positions 509 to 807 of the family's 1533-position model. The record is from RNAcentral.
CAGCCGCCGCGGUAAAACGGAGGGGGCUAGCGUUGUUCGGAAUUACUGGGCGUAAAGCGCACGUAGGCGGCUUGGUAAGUUAGAGGUGAAAGCCCGGAGCUCAACUCCGGAAUUGCCUUUAAGACUGCCGAGCUAGUAGGUGAGAGAGGUAAGUGGAAUUCCGAGUGUAGAGGUGAAAUUCGUAGAUAUUCGGAAGAACACCAGCGGCGAAGGCGGCUUACUGGCUCAUUCUAGACGCUGAGGUGCGAAAGCGUGGGGAGCAAACAGGAUUAGAUACCCCGGUAGUCCCUGUCUCUUAUAC